Molecule: non-coding RNA, 22 nt
Filed under: Arabidopsis thaliana (thale cress)
Lineage: Eukaryota; Viridiplantae; Streptophyta; Magnoliopsida; Brassicales; Brassicaceae
Source: RNAcentral
CCGGGCUUUUGAUACGCUUGUG